GUGUCAGCCGCCGCGGUAAUACGAAGGGGGCUAGCGUUGUUCGGAAUUACUGGGCGUAAAGGGCGCGUAGGCGGUGCUGUAAGUCAGGCGUGAAAUCCCCGGGCUCAACCUGGGAAUUGCGCAUGAUACUGCGGCGCUGGAAUGCGGGAGAGGAUGGCGGAAUUCCCAGUGUAGAGGUGAAAUUCGUAGAUAUUGGGAAGAACACCGGUGGCGAAGGCGGCCAUCUGGCCCGUAAUUGACGCUGAGGCGCGAAAGCGUGGGGAGCAAACAGGAUUAGAUACCCUGGUAGUCCACGCCGUAAACGAUGAGUGCUAGACGUCGGGGGGCUUGCCCUUCGGUGUCGCCGCUAACGCAUUAAGCACUCCGCCUGGGGAGUACGGUCGCAAGAUUAAA
RNAcentral lists this ribosomal RNA (393 nucleotides) under uncultured bacterium. RNAcentral describes it as "bacterial SSU rRNA". It matches the Rfam family "Bacterial small subunit ribosomal RNA", at positions 505 to 898 of the family's 1533-position model. The record is from RNAcentral.